CGGGGGCUGGGAGGGCGAGGGCUUGGUGGAGAAGGGCUGGGUGGCAGCGGACUGGGGGGCCUGGGCGAUGGUGGCAACGGUGACGGCGGGCGCGGGCUGGGUGGCAGUGGGCUUGGAGGAGAGGGGCUUGGAGGAAGCGGAGAUGGAGGCAGCGGGCUGGGAGGCGCGGGGCUGGGAGGAAGCGGAGAUGGAGGCAGCGGGCUGGGAGGCUUGGGCGACGGUGGCAGCGGGCUGGGUGGCAACGGCGACGGAGGGCGAGGGCUGGGUGGCAGUGGGCUAGGAGGCGAGGGGCUCGGAGGCUUGGGCGACGGUGGCAGCGGGCUGGGGGGUAAGGGGCUAGGUGGCAGCGGGCUGGGUGGCAGCGGUGAUGGAGGCCUAGGGCUGGGCGGCAGUGGGCUAGGAGGCGAGGGACUGUGCGGCAGUGGGCAAGGAGGCGAGGGACUGGGCGGCAGUGGGCUAGGAGGCGAGGGACUGGGAGGAAGCGGAGAUGGAGGCAGCGGGCUGGGAGGCUUGGGCGAAGGUGGCAGCGGGCUGGGUGGCAGCGGGCUGGGUGGCAGCGGGCUGGGUGGCAGCGGGCUGGN
Molecule: long non-coding RNA, 581 nt
Filed under: Volvox carteri
Lineage: Eukaryota; Viridiplantae; Chlorophyta; Chlorophyceae; Chlamydomonadales; Volvocaceae
Description: long non-coding RNA (VCAR_LNC002324)
Source: RNAcentral